UGUCAUCUGGCUCAGUCGGUAGAGCAUGAGACUCUUAAUUGCAGGGCAGUGCGUUCAAGUCCCACAUUGGGCAA
Non-coding RNA from Podarcis lilfordi (Lilford's wall lizard), 74 nucleotides. The record is from the annotation of a GenBank genome assembly. NCBI's taxonomy places the organism in Eukaryota, Metazoa, Chordata, Lepidosauria, Squamata, Lacertidae.